AACGAACGUUGGCGGCAUGGAUUAGGCAUGCAAGUCGAGCGAGAACCGUAGCAAUACGGGGACAGCGGCGAAUGGGAGAGUAAUGUGUGGAUAUCUACCUCCAGGCCUGGGACAACUACGGGAAACUGUAGCUAAUACCAGAUAAUGUCUGCGGACCAAAGGUGUGAUUCCUCCGGGAGAUGAGUCCACAUCCUAUUAGCUAGUUGGUAGGGUAAUGGCCUACCAAGGCAAUGAUGGGUAGCAGGUGUGAGAGCACGACCUGCCUCAUUGGGACUGAGACACUGCCCAGACACCUACGGGUGGCUGCAGUCGAGAAUCUUCGGCAAUGGGCGCAAGCCUGACCGAGCGAUGCCGCGUGCGGGAUGAAGGCCUUCGGGUUGUAAACCGCUGUCAGAGGGGAUGAAAUACGUCGGGGGUUCUCCCCCGGGUUUGACAUAUCCUCAGAGGAAGGACGGGCUAAGUUCGUGCCAGCCGCCGCAGUAA
This 483-nucleotide ribosomal RNA is filed under the name uncultured bacterium. RNAcentral's name for it is "partial 16S ribosomal RNA". It matches the Rfam family "Bacterial small subunit ribosomal RNA", at positions 29 to 523 of the family's 1533-position model. The record is from RNAcentral.